GACGAACGCUGGCGGCGUGCUUAACACAUGCAAGUCGAACGGAAAGGCCCUGCUUUUGUGGGGUGCUCGAGUGGCGAACGGGUGAGUAACACGUGAGUAACCUGCCCUUGACUUUGGGAUAACUUCAGGAAACUGGGGCUAAUACCGGAUAGGAGCUCCUGCUGCAUGGUGGGGGUUGGAAAGUUUCGGCGGUUGGGGAUGGACUCGCGGCUUAUCAGCUUGUUGGUGGGGUAGUGGCUUACCAAGGCUUUGACGGGUAGCCGGCCUGAGAGGGUGACCGGCCACAUUGGGACUGAGAUACGGCCCAGACUCCUACGGGAGGCAGCAGUGGGGAAUAUUGCACAAUGGGCGGAAGCCUGAUGCAGCAACGCCGCGUGCGGGAUGACGGCCUUCGGGUUGUAAACCGCUUUCGCCUGUGACGAAGCGUGAGUGACGGUAAUGGGUAAAGAAGCACCGGCUAACUACGUGCCAGCAGCCGCGGUGAUACGUAGGGUGCGAGCGUUGUCCGGAUUUAUUGGGCGUAAAGGGCUCGUAGGUGGUUGAUCGCGUCGGAAGUGUAAUCUUGGGGCUUAACCCUGAGCGUGCUUUCGAUACGGGUUGACUUGAGGAAGGUAGGGGAGAAUGGAAUUCCUGGUGGAGCGGUGGAAUGCGCAGAUAUCAGGAGGAACACCAGUGGCGAAGGCGGUUCUCUGGGCCUUUCCUGACGCUGAGGAGCGAAAGCGUGGGGAGCGAACAGGCUUAGAUACCCUGGUAGUCCACGCUGUAAACGGUGGGUACUGGGUGUGGGGUCCAUUCCACGGGUUCCGUGCCGUAGCUAACGCUUUAAGUACCCCGCCUGGGGAGUACGGCCGCAAGGCUAAAACUCAAAGGAAUUGACGGGGCCCCGCACAAGCGGCGGAGCAUGCGGAUUAAUUCGAUGCAACGCGUAGAACCUUACCUGGGUUUGACAUGGAUCGGGAGUGCUCAGAGAUGGGUGUGCCUCUUUUGGGGUCGGUUCACAGGUGGUGCAUGGCUGUCGUCAGCUCGUGUCGUGAGAUGUUGGGUUAAGUCCCGCAACGAGCGCAACCCUUGUUCACUGUUGCCAGCACGUUAUGGUGGGGACUCAGUGGAGACCGCCGGGGUCAACUCGGAGGAAGGUGGGGAUGACGUCAAGUCAUCAUGCCCCUUAUGUCCAGGGCUUCACGCAUGCUACAAUGGCUGGUACAGAGAGUGGCGAGCCUGUGAGGGUGAGCGAAUCUCGGAAAGUCGGUCUCAGUUCGGAUUGGGGUCUGCAACUCGACCUCAUGAAGUCGGAGUCGCUAGUAAUCGCAGAUCAGCAACGCUGCGGUGAAUACGUUCCCGGGGCU
Molecule: ribosomal RNA, 1346 nt
Filed under: uncultured bacterium
Lineage: Bacteria
Description: partial 16S ribosomal RNA
Rfam family: Bacterial small subunit ribosomal RNA
Source: RNAcentral